GAUGAACGCUGGCGGCGUGCCUAAUACAUGCAAGUCGAGCGAACAGACGAGGAGCUUGCUCCUCUGACGUUAGCGGCGGACGGGUGAGUAACACGUGGAUAACCUACCUAUAAGACUGGGAUAACUUCGGGAAACCGGAGCUAAUACCGGAUAAUAUAUUGAACCGCAUGGUUCAAUAGUGAAAGACGGUUUUGCUGGCACUUAUAGAUGGUUCCGCGCCGCAUUAGCUAGUUGGUAAGGUAACGGCUUACCAAGGCUACGAUGCGUAGCCGACCUGAGAGGGUGAUCGGCCACACUGGAACUGGGCCACCGUCCAGGCUCCUACGGGAGGCAGCAGUCGGGAAUGUGACGCAGUGGGCGAAAGCCUGACGGAGCAACGCCGCGUGAGUGAUGAAGGUCUUCGGAUCGUAAAACUCUGUUAUGAGGGAAAAACAAAUGUGUAAGGAACUAUGCACGUCUUGACGGUACCUAAUCAGAAAGCCACGGCUAACUACGUG
RNAcentral lists this ribosomal RNA (497 nucleotides) under uncultured bacterium. RNAcentral describes it as "partial 16S ribosomal RNA". It matches the Rfam family "Bacterial small subunit ribosomal RNA", at positions 28 to 507 of the family's 1533-position model. The record is from RNAcentral.